CAGACUCUGUGCCAUGGCUGUUUUGUCGGCUCCUCCGCUGAGGUGGCAACACCCGCGCUUCCCCGUCCUAGAAUGUCGAAAAACAUAUUGACUAGAUAUGGAGAGACUGGAGGACAAACAUGUCUAUUUCUCGAUUUCAGAUCCUCUAAAGACACUGUCUUCCCCAGGAAGCAAAUUAAAGAAUAUGACAUUCAUAUUUCAAAGAGG
Myodes glareolus (Bank vole) is the source of this 207-nucleotide non-coding RNA. The record is from RefSeq and is a predicted model, not a curated record. NCBI's taxonomy places the organism in Eukaryota, Metazoa, Chordata, Mammalia, Rodentia, Cricetidae.